CUACCAUUUCCUCUCCACUUUGGGUCAUCUUUUCAACUGGAUCAGGAAACAUGGGAUUCUUGUGAUGAUUCAAUAUUUCCAAACUCCAUGAGGUUACCCCAGACAGGUGGGGUUGGUCCUCAUUACCUUCCCAAGGCCCAACAAGCGUCCAUGACACUUGUUCCCCAUGUAAGUGAUCUAUAGAUGUAUUGCUGUGCGUGGCAAUACAUUUUUUAAAGAUUUAUUUACUACUUGAAAGGCAGAGUUAUAGACAAAGAGGGAAAUCAGUGAGAAAUCUUCCAUCCACUGGCAGAGUCCCCAUAGAACCUCAAUGAGCAGGUUGGACCAGGCCAAAUCAGGAGUCCAAAACUCCAUCAGAGUCUCCCAAACAGCUGGCAGGGCGCAAGCACGAGACAUCUUACACUGCUUUCUGAGGCACAUUAGCAGGGAACUGGAUCAGAAGUGGAGGAGCAGGGACACCAACCAGGGAUCCCAUUAGGGGUCCCCACAGGUGGCGCUUGAACCUGCUGCACCACAAUGCCAGCCUCAGGUGGCAGUAUAUCUUUAUCUUGGCCUCCAGAGCUCCCAUAUUAGACAAUAAUAUGAUUGGUAGAAGAUGACAAGGACAAAGGAAAUGGACAAGAGUUAUGAGACAAAACAGAGGAAGGGAAACAGGAAGGCUGGAAAACAAUGAGUUGCACACAUCGACCCAGUGGCUACCUAUGGAGGAACAAGGUGACACUUCUUAGGCACAGUGAUGGGAAUCUGAGGCAGGAAGAAGAAGGCAAAGUUCAGAGAUCCUCUCACUUAUACAGAGGCUAUGUGGCUGCAUCCGAACAUUCCCUCGGGAGCAGCGAUCUGGGACUGUCCACAUGUUCCCUGGAUGUGAACUAUCCCCAAAGACUUCAGGACAUGGAGGACCUCGACGAAGAUCAGGAAUUGGAAGCCAACAAACUGGAGCCCAGAGGUGGAGAGGCUGCCGUCGAGGCUGACCUGGAGAGUGGAGAGGAAUGGCUAUUCAGGAUCCACGCAGGUGAGUGAAGGAUGUACCCUGAGGUGGUCCCAGGGCUCCCCUCGGGCUUCCAGGCUGAGCCCCCAGGAGCUGUUUACAUCUGAAGGGAAGGCUGGGGGUGCUGGUACAACUGGCAUGUAAAUGGCUUCAGUGUGGCCACGGGUGGUGGUGUUUCUGGAAGAGCCCCAGAGCCGCUCAACACCUCCCUCUGGAGGGCACUUUCCUGCCUGCCCGACAUGGAUGCCAACAGGGAACCUCCCCAGCUGUGGUGGGACACUGGUAUUUUCUCUGAGCUCCUCCACCUAGAGACAAUGAGGUGAGGAUGGACAGAGGGAGGCACCUCUGGGCUCCUUUUCACACCAGAAGAGGCCACAGA
RNAcentral lists this long non-coding RNA (1367 nucleotides) under Oryctolagus cuniculus (rabbit). Its description in RNAcentral is "lncRNA (ENSOCUG00000031204.1)". The record is from RNAcentral. Lineage: Eukaryota; Metazoa; Chordata; Mammalia; Lagomorpha; Leporidae.